UACGUAGGGUGCAGGCGUUAAUCGGAAUUACUGGGCGUAAAGCGUGCGCAGGCGGUCCGUAGAACACAUGUGAAAUCCCCGGGCUUAACCUGGGAACUGCAUUUGUGACUGGCGGACUCGAGUAUGGCAGAGGGGGGUAGAAUUCCACGUGUAGCAGUGAAAUGCGUAGAGAUGUGGAGGAAUACCGAUGGCGAAAGGCGCAGCCC
RNAcentral lists this ribosomal RNA (206 nucleotides) under uncultured bacterium. RNAcentral describes it as "partial 16S ribosomal RNA". It matches the Rfam family "Bacterial small subunit ribosomal RNA", at positions 524 to 730 of the family's 1533-position model. The record is from RNAcentral.